GCUUUUGAUGUUCACUGCUUACUUUUCCACAUGGUUAUCUAGUUAUCAUGCAUCCCCAUCUUCAUGCCAUUUUAAAAUAUAAAAAUAUAUAAUUAAAAAUUAUUAUAAAAAUAUUGUAUUUUUAAAAGAAUUGUUUAAAAAAUAUGAUAAUUUUUCACCGAUUUACGUAUAAAAUAAUUUUAUAGAAUCAAAAGCUAUGAUGAAUGUCACGUAAUAUUCUAACCUGACACCGAAUCAUUGAAACUGUUCCAUCGUGUUUAUUUUCUCAUUUGUUUGGCACUUUCUUUCUUUUUUUCCGACCCGAAUGGACACCGCACUACCGCAGCAGUCCUUCGCCAUUCUUUUUAAAUUUUGGUUUGGUUGCAGUACGUAGCGAUUGAAAUUGGAGUGUCCAGCUUUUAGGGUUGGGGGACCAACCACAAGGCGUUGAAAGCCGCAAGAGCGGGGCAUGCUUGUGAGUUAGAAGCUUAGAAUUUGAUUUCCCAUGCUCUGUUUUCUUCAUCAAUAAUACUUUGAUUGUUGGCAUUUUGUGUGAGCCAGAAUCUGUAAAAGCAAGAGUCUUUUUAGUCAAUUUAGUCUCCCCAUGCGUAGCUGUAUUU
RNAcentral lists this long non-coding RNA (599 nucleotides) under Gossypium raimondii (Peruvian cotton). RNAcentral describes it as "long non-coding RNA (GRAI_LNC004229)". Lineage: Eukaryota; Viridiplantae; Streptophyta; Magnoliopsida; Malvales; Malvaceae. The record is from RNAcentral.